AGUAGAGAGCCUGACCAAAAAGGGUUACCUUGAUAGGGUAAAAUUAGUGCGUGGACCCACCUCUGCUU
RNAcentral lists this transfer RNA (68 nucleotides) under Nephaspis sp. DPP-2018. RNAcentral describes it as "tRNA-Ile". The record is from RNAcentral. Lineage: Eukaryota; Metazoa; Arthropoda; Insecta; Coleoptera; Coccinellidae.